CUCCUACAGGUCCUUUUGACUACAGAGGAAAGGCAACAAGUUCUCCUGGAGGCUUUCCAACCCAGCUCCCCAACGAAAUAGAUGAGGGGUUUCCCCUCACCCGCCCGGACUGGGACUAUGAAACGGCUCCAGGUAGGAGACUCCGUGUACGUCCGGCGGCACCGCUCUCAAGGAUUGGAGCCUCGUUGGAAGGGACCUUACAUCGUCCUGCUGACCACGCCCACCACCAUAAAGGUUGACGGGAUUGCCGCCUGGAUUCACGCAUCGCACGCCAAAGCAGCCCCAAAAACCCCUGGACCAGAAACUCCCAAAACCUGGAAGCUCCACCGUUCGGAGAACCCUCUUAAGAUAAGACUCUCCCGUGUCUGACUGCUAAUCCACCCUGUCCCUGCACGAACCCAAAAUGAAACCCCCAGCGGGAAUGGUCUUUCUGUGGGUCCUCACAAGCUUGGGGGCGGGAAUUGGAGCUAAAAUUGUCAAAGAGGGGAACCCACAUCAGGUUUACACCUUGACUUGACCUGUUGAUCUUACAAGAAGGCGGGUUAUGUGCUGCCCUCAAAGAAGAGUGCUGCUUCUAUGCUGAUCACACAGGGAUAAUAAGGGAUAGCAUGGCCAAGCUGAGGGAGAGACUCAAACAAAGGCAAAAGCUGUUCGAAUCUCAGCAAGGCUGGUUUGAGGGGUAGUAUAACAAAUCCCCCUGGUUUACCACUUUAGUCUCCUCCCUCAUGGGCCCCUUAAUACUCCUACUAUUAAUACUGAUGUUCGGACCCUGCAUCCUUAACCGCUUGGUACAGUUCAUAAGAGAAAGACUCUCUGUCAUCCAGGCCUUGGUUCUAACCCAACAGUACCACCAACUAAGACAAUUUGAUGCAGAAAGGCCAGAUACAAUUGAAUGAAAGGUUUCAUUCGAUGCCAAAAGAAAAUGGGGGAAUGAGAGACCCCUGGUCUAGCUUACUAAAACACCCCCACCCUACCUUCAACUUUGUAAACGCCUCACUCGCAGAGCCUGUACUCCCACUAGUUAACAAACAGGAUUUCUGCGGUUAGACAUCUGGACACCGGGGGAGCUGUACAGGCUGCUACAUAGAUAACCGCUUUCCUCUCGCUUCUGUAAUCUUGCUUACGCGCCCAACCAUAGUAAUCUUGCUUACGCGCCCAACCCUAACCGAAAGGUCCCUAGCCGCUUCGCAGCCCGGGCUCCAAGUUGCAUCAGCCAAAAGAAACUUCAUUUCCCAAGCUUCCCCGGGACGAAACUACCCACAACCCUAACCAUCACCGAGCAGAGAGCCUACCACCAGCCUGUAUGCAAAUAAGACUCAAAAUAGCAUAAAAGACCUGUGACCCCGUUUAUCGGGGCUCUCCCGCUUUCUAACACUGGGGAGCCCUGGUGCACCAGUAAAGACUCUCUGCCGACGUCGGAGUGUCGUGUGGUUCUUUGCGCCAACUCUCAUUCCAUAGGGCCUAGGAGCUUGGCUCCUAACAGCUCCUCGGAGCGGGGGCAGCUGGACGAGGUCGGUGGCCGAUGCAGCGAGUGGCCCCCAGUGUGUGAAGACGCGAACACGGGGCGGAACACGGAGAAGGAGCAGCUCUGCCCUCAGGUGCUCCGUGACGCACGGGGGCCCCAUCUCCGCACAGACGGCGCCAAACCCGGGGACAGGGGUGUCGUGCCGGCCUCACCCACCUGUCACUUCCAAGAAGGGGCUCUCGGGACACCCCCGUGCAGUGAUGGGUCGUCCGCUUCCGGACAGACCCUCCGAUUCCUCGACUGCACCUGGCGAGCAGGUACUCGGGUGCUCCGGGGUGCUCCUCCGAUCUGCACAGGUGCUCCAUGGGUGCUCCUACGAUGUGCAAAGGGCUCCUCAGGUGCUCCGCAGGUACUCGGGUGCUCCGGGGUGCUCCUCCGAUUUGCACAGGUGCUUCGCAGGUCCUCGGGGUGCUCUAUGGGUGCUCUGCAGGUGCUCCUCUGAUCUGCACAGGUGCUCCGCAGGUACUUGGGGUGUUCCGUGAGUGCUCCGUGGGUGCUCCGCAGGUACGCGGGGUGCUCCCGGGGUGCUCCGGAGUGCUCCUCCGAUCUGCACAGCUGCUCCGCAGGUACUUGGGGUGCUCUGUGAGUGCUCUGUGGGUGCUCAGUAGGUGCUCCUCUGAUCUGCACAGGUGCUCCGCAGGUGCUCCGCAGGUACGCGGGGUGCUCCCGGGGUGCUCCGGGGUGCUCCUCCGAUCUGCACAGGUGCUCCGUGGGUGCUCCACAGGGCUGCACGGGGCCUGCCCAGGCGCUCCCGCCCCGCUGCCACGUGUCGCCCAGGACAGCCGGAGCCCCGGGGCCGUGUUCACGGGCGGAGCCAACCCGCAGCCACAUCACAGGAAGGGCCCGUUCUCCUCACCCGGCUCCGCCUCCCUCCCUCAAUCCAGUAACUUCUGCCCCUCCACCUGCCGGGAGUUGGGCCGCCGCACACACCCCUCUGGGAAACCCAGCGGUGUCACCGAGGGUGCUGACGCUUGUUCCCUGGGCCCCAGGUCUCGGCGGACAGAGAGCUCUGGGUCCCACAUACAAGCGGAGACAGCUUUCUGCGCCACUCGUGUCACUCCGCACUGCGACAGCGAGCCUGCGCUGAAUUUCCGCUGAGGCUCACACGGCCCUCACGGAGAACUUCCAGAUCCUGGCCCUGCAGCAUAACGUAAGGGAGUUUCUAUUUCCAGGGCUCAUGGCAACAGAGCCAUCACUGGGUCACUUCUCCUUGCUGGCCUCACCACCCACGACGUGGCCCAGACUUCCCACAGUAUGUGCCUUCCUCCUCAGAAGCCAGGAAAAGCAUAUGAAAAGGUGCCACCAUAUGUC
Molecule: long non-coding RNA, 2836 nt
Organism: Felis catus (domestic cat)
Lineage: Eukaryota; Metazoa; Chordata; Mammalia; Carnivora; Felidae
Exons: 4
Source: RefSeq, a predicted model, not a curated record